GACUCCUUAGCUGUCUCGUACAGGACAGCCCUGGCCACCAGCAGGGCAGCCGGGAGACUGUGCCGGGCCCGCACAGGAAGUCCCUGGUGGAGGCCAGAUCUCCAGUCUGUGCCCUGUUAGCUGUCCCACUGCCCACUCGAUUUCGUGCACACUUGGAAGCCUGAAGACCUCAAUCCGGGCCCACACUCUACGACCGUCUCGCUCUGGGUGACUCAAGAACACCACUCCUCGCUGGCCUCUCAUCUAAGCUGGGCCCAUAGUUCACCAGUCAGGCCCUUCACUCUCAGCCACCUUCGCUGCACACAGUUAAAAAGUUUCUUUCUGGUCUCCACACAGGCUCCUGUAAGGCCGGACCCCGCGGGCCAUGAUGGGCCGCCCCUCCUCUCCCUCCUGNNNNNNNGGGAAGUCCCUAUCGGAAGGAGCCUCGCAGAUCCCAGGACCGAUGACAGCACACUUCGGCAGCUAAAGCCGCCCCACCCCAGCCACGAAGAAGGACCUGUCAGCCUGUGAUGCCUGGGCGUGGCGACCUAUCUGACCCCCAUCCAUCUAGCCUGACCAUCCCUUGCAACGAACGUAUAAAAGCCACCCCCCACACGAUCUGGGCCACGGACUUCCUUGACCUGCCUCUUUCGGGUCUGGAAACCCCGCCCGGGACGGCUUCGCCCUUGAAGAGCCUGUUAGACACUGUUUUGGUGUCCUGGUCUUUUACCUAACAGCU
This 718-nucleotide long non-coding RNA is filed under the name Capra hircus (goat). RNAcentral's name for it is "lncRNA (ENSCHIG00010031322.1)". Lineage: Eukaryota; Metazoa; Chordata; Mammalia; Artiodactyla; Bovidae. The record is from RNAcentral.